Molecule: ribosomal RNA, 301 nt
Filed under: uncultured bacterium
Lineage: Bacteria
Description: partial 16S ribosomal RNA
Rfam family: Bacterial small subunit ribosomal RNA
Source: RNAcentral
CAGCAGCCGCGGUAAUACGUAGGUGGCAAGCGUUGUCCGGAAUUAUUGGGCGUAAAGGGCUCGCAGGCGGCUUCUUAAGUCUGAUGUGAAAGCCCCCGGCUCAACCGGGGAGGGUCAUUGGAAACUGGGAAACUUGAGUGCAGAAGAGGAGAGUGGAAUUCCACGUGUAGCGGUGAAAUGCGUAGAGAUGUGGAGGAACACCAGUGGCGAAGGCGACUCUCUGGUCUGUAACUGACGCUGAGGAGCGAAAGCGUGGGGAGCGAACAGGAUUAGAGACCCCGGUAGUCCCUGUCUCUUAUAC